GCUUACCCCUCGUAGGGAAUCCCACGGUUUCGGUGUCCCCAUCUGCGUUGCGCCCUUUUGGGUGCGGGGUGGACGUGAGGCGGGCUCCGUGUUCCAAGCAUGCCUCGCGGUUUGUCGUGCGGCUGUUUUGGGUCAUGGGGUCUUUGCCCGUUCUCUUGGAUGCGGAAUGUUGUGCGUGGGCGUGAGGCCUCGGCCUCGUUUUGUCCAAGCUAAGCAUUCGUCCCUCGAUGCAAACGACUGCCACGCUCGUCUUGACCUCCUGCAGCGUCCUCCCAUGCGGGGCACCUGUGGUGUGGCUCAUGCGGGUGUUGGCGUCGCGAAGGAAUGCUACCUGGUUGAUCCUGCCAGU
This 349-nucleotide unclassified non-coding RNA is filed under the name Quassia amara (Amargo). RNAcentral describes it as "partial miscellaneous RNA". Lineage: Eukaryota; Viridiplantae; Streptophyta; Magnoliopsida; Sapindales; Simaroubaceae. The record is from RNAcentral.